RNAcentral lists this transfer RNA (92 nucleotides) under Halopseudomonas aestusnigri. RNAcentral's name for it is "tRNA-Ser". Lineage: Bacteria; Pseudomonadati; Pseudomonadota; Gammaproteobacteria; Pseudomonadales; Pseudomonadaceae. RNAcentral also lists the same sequence under 1 other name. The record is from RNAcentral.
UCGGCCGAUUAUCGAGGCCGGCCGGCGCACCCUGGUGGAUGCGGUGCAGCACUGGGAUGGUGCUGCGCUGUUCGAGCCGGCGCCGGCCGGGC